ACGGGAGGCAGCAGUGGGGAAUAUUGCACAAUGGGGGAAACCCUGAUGCAGCAACGCCGCGUGAAGGAUGAAGGCCUUUGGGUCGUAAACUUCUGUCCUUGGGGAAGAUAAUGACGGUACCCUUGGAGGAAGCCCCGGCUAACUACGUGCCAGCAGCCGCGGUAAUACGUAUGGAGCAAGCGUUAUCCGGAUUUACUGGGUGUAAAGGGAGCGUAGACGGCAAAGCAAGUCUGAAGUGAAAUCCCGGGGCUCAACCCCGGAACUGCUUUGGAAACUGUUUAGCUAGAGUGCAGGAGAGGUAAGCGGAAUUCCUAGUGUAGCGGUGAAAUGCGUAGAUAUUAGGAGGAACACCAGUGGCGAAGGCGGCUUACUGGACUGUAACUGACGUUGAGGCUCGAAAGCGUGGGGAGCAAACAGGAUUAGAUACCCUGGUA
This 434-nucleotide ribosomal RNA is filed under the name uncultured Lachnospiraceae bacterium. Its description in RNAcentral is "partial 16S ribosomal RNA". It matches the Rfam family "Bacterial small subunit ribosomal RNA", at positions 341 to 792 of the family's 1533-position model. The record is from RNAcentral. Lineage: Bacteria; Bacillati; Bacillota; Clostridia; Lachnospirales; Lachnospiraceae.